UAAAAAUGGAUAAACUACAUUAAACAUAUGUAAAAUUAUCAUUUUUCACUUAAAAAAAAGACGGCAUAUCUCCAUAAUGUAACAUUACCAUUUUAUAAAAAAAACAAAAAACAUUAUAUAUAAUUUUGAAAAUAAUAAAUAUACGUAAACAUACAACAUAAAAAAUAGAAAUACUACGUUAAACAUAUGUAAGAUUACCAUUUGAGAAAAUGACACAAAGAACACCAAACAAAGUUUUCCUCCCCAAACUAGCACUCAGGAUCAGAAAUCACAAAAAUAGGUUUCACUAAAGGGGUAAUUUACCC
RNAcentral lists this long non-coding RNA (305 nucleotides) under Brassica napus (rape). Its description in RNAcentral is "long non-coding RNA (BNAP_LNC020136)". Lineage: Eukaryota; Viridiplantae; Streptophyta; Magnoliopsida; Brassicales; Brassicaceae. The record is from RNAcentral.